This 254-nucleotide ribosomal RNA is filed under the name uncultured bacterium. Its description in RNAcentral is "partial 16S ribosomal RNA". It matches the Rfam family "Bacterial small subunit ribosomal RNA", at positions 524 to 776 of the family's 1533-position model. The record is from RNAcentral.
UACGUAGGGCGCAAGCGUUGUCCGGAAUUAUUGGGCGUAAAGAGCUCGUAGGCGGCUUGUCGCGUCGGGUGUGAAAGCUUGGGGCUUAACCCCAAGUCUGCAUCCGAUACGGGCAUGACUGGAGUUCGGCAGGGGAGACUGGAAUUCCUGGUGUAGCGGUGAAAUGCGCAGAUAUCAGGAGGAACACCGGUGGCGAAGGCGGGUCUCUGGGCCGAUACUGACGCUGAGGAGCGAAAGCGUGGGGAGCGAACAGG